AAUAUUGACUUAAACUGAUGCUAGGAAAAGUGUCAUCCAGUGACAUGUCUCUAUGUUUACAAUCUGUUUGUCUCCUCAUAGUGAGAGUGAGAUAAAUAUUGUUUGGCAUCAACACCGUCGUCAUUCCUAUUUUUCAGUGAUAUACUAAUGUUUUAAUAAUAAUUAUUAUACAUAAUUAUAUUAUUCCUAACAAUAAUAAUAGCCACCUCAAAUAUGGAAUUAGAAGAACAGAAUUCCGAUACUGUUCCUUCGCCACCACCACCAUCUGUACCACCACCUGAUCUACCUUUGAUUUUGCCACCCCCAUUGCCUGCGAGGCCCGGAAGAAAGUCAACAGUUGUCCCAGAACAGUUUAAUAUAGAAUCUGAAUUAGACAAUGAUGAUGAGAUUUCCCAACAAAUGACAGCAUCUUACAGUGAGAUAUCAUUUAAAUCGGAAUUGAGUCCAGAGUAUGAAUUGCAGUCUUUGUCAUUAAACCAAACAACCUUCGAUCCUAAUCCAAUUCCCAUACCUUCAGCUGAUAACUUAAGACAAAGACCUGACACAUUAUCCUGUGACCGAAAUAUUACUUCAAAGGCUUUAGGUCCUUUAAAUUUGGAUGGAACUGUGCAUGUGGAAGGUAACAUGACUCAUUUUGUAGCUGAGGAUUUGGAAUAUAAAAUCAAACUAUCAAGUCCAGUAACAAGAAAAGGAGACACACCACCAUUAGGAAGUAAUAAUUCAAGAACUUGCACUCCAAGUUCCCUCUAUAGACAGUUGUUAGUACCCCAGGUAUCACAGUUUGAUACUGCCCUAAUCAAUGACUUGGAAUGUGAAGCUCAACGAAUGGCCACUUCUAUUGACAACCUAAUUGAGAAUUUAAGUGGAAUAUUACAUUCUAUAUCUUCAAUCACAGCUGAUAAUGUGGAUGUAUAUAAGAAUGCUGUUUCAAAAAUGUCUGAUUCAAUGGAUCUGAACAUAAAGGUAUAUAUGUAGUAUAGUAUGUAUACAAUGAUGGCUAAAGCUGAAGAAGUAACUCAAUCCAUGAAAAUUGUGGAAGGUCAUGCUGUUAGAAUAAAAGAAAUAAAAAGGCUUGUUGACCUUUUUGAAAGUUUUAUAUAGAUGUCACUGGUAAAAAUGAAAAAAUUAUGAUUUGUACCUGUUAUAGAAACAAAAUAAAAUAAAGAUGUUUUUUAUGUA
This is an RNA transcript of Aethina tumida (small hive beetle), 1179 nucleotides long. It is a transcript of the gene named BLOC-1-related complex subunit 6, with no coding region annotated. The record is from RefSeq and is a predicted model, not a curated record. NCBI's taxonomy places the organism in Eukaryota, Metazoa, Arthropoda, Insecta, Coleoptera, Nitidulidae. The transcript is spliced from 6 exons.